CACAAGCCCAGCUGUAUGGAAACCCUGUAAGCAGGUGCUGCAUUGAACUCUCUGAUUUUGUCACUUGCUGUGUCCCUUGCCCUGCUUUCCAGAGACUCAUCCGAGAGAGAGAGGCAGAAACCACAAUGUCUUUUAUGACUUAGUCCUGGAGACCAUCACUUCAGCUGUAUUCUACUGGUCACACAAACCACGAGAUACGGUGAGCCAGAACCACCCAGCUACAC
Long non-coding RNA from Camelus dromedarius (Arabian camel), 224 nucleotides. RefSeq lists it as uncharacterized. Lineage: Eukaryota; Metazoa; Chordata; Mammalia; Artiodactyla; Camelidae. The transcript has 3 exons. The record is from RefSeq and is a predicted model, not a curated record.